Oryza sativa Japonica Group (Japanese rice) is the source of this 275-nucleotide microRNA precursor. It matches the Rfam family "MIR821 microRNA precursor family". The record is from Rfam. Lineage: Eukaryota; Viridiplantae; Streptophyta; Magnoliopsida; Poales; Poaceae.
GAUAUCAACUGAAAAAGUCAUCAACAACAAAGUUGAAUAACUCAUCAAGAUCUAAAACUUUUAUUUUGGUCAUUUCUUCAUACGACAAAGUGAUAGUAACAUUGUUCACAAAAUUGACAUAUCUCUUAUCUGAUUUAAAAACUAUAACACAUAUAUGUAAAAUUUGCGAAUAAUAUUACUAACAUUUUGUUGGAUGAAAAAAUAACAAAAAUAAAAGUUUUAGAUCUUAGAUGAGUUAUUCAACUUUGUUGUUGAUGACUUUUUCAAUUGAAAUC